GACGAACGCUGGCGGCGUGCCUAACACAUGCAAGUCGAGCGGGAUCCAUCUGGUGGCAGCACCGGGGAAGAUCUAGCGGCGAACGGGUGAGUAACACGUGAGAAACCUGCCCCGAACUUCGGGAUAACACGGGGAAACCCGUGCUAAUACCGAAUACCCUCUACCGGUCGCAUGGCCGGAAGCGGAAAGAUUCAUCGGUUCGGGAGGGUCUCGCGGCCUAUCAGCUAGUUGGCGGGGUAACGGCCCACCAAGGCAUCGACGGGUAGCUGGUCUGAGAGGACGAUCAGCCACACUGGGACUGAGACACGGCCCAGACUCCUACGGGAGGCAGCAGUGGGGAAUCUUGCGCAAUGGGCGAAAGCCUGACGCAGCAACGCCGCGUGCGGGAUGAAGGCCUUCGGGUUGUAAACCGCUUUCAGCAGGGAAGAAAAUGUCGGUACCUGCAGAAGAAGCCCCGGCCAACUACGUGCCAGCCGCCGCGGUAA
This 485-nucleotide ribosomal RNA is filed under the name uncultured bacterium. RNAcentral's name for it is "partial 16S ribosomal RNA". It matches the Rfam family "Bacterial small subunit ribosomal RNA", at positions 28 to 523 of the family's 1533-position model. The record is from RNAcentral.